RNAcentral lists this ribosomal RNA (68 nucleotides) under Dophla evelina proditrix. Its description in RNAcentral is "partial 5.8S ribosomal RNA". Lineage: Eukaryota; Metazoa; Arthropoda; Insecta; Lepidoptera; Nymphalidae. The record is from RNAcentral.
CAUUGACAUUUCGAACGCACAUUGCGGUCCGUGGAGAAACAUCCAGGACCACUCCUGUCUGAGGGCCG